CGAGGUAUUUUUGUCUCUAGUAUUAAUGUUAAUAAAACGUGGGUUCCUUUUAAGUACGAGAAUCUACCGACAUUUUGUUUUGGAUGUGGAAGAAUGGGGCACGGGAUAACAAAUUGCACUCAAAUAAUACCUGCAAGAAAAAGAAAAAUUAGUAUUGAUCCACCUUAUUCGUUGGCUUUAAAAGCAUAAUCAAAAUUAGUUGGAAAAGAAAGUAUGAAACUUAAUGCUAUGACGAAGAAGGUGGGGGUUCAAAGCUCUUACACAGGAGGCAAAGUAGUGUUGACAGAAAAUUCUAAAAUAAUAGAAAAAGAGAAUAACGAGAUUCGGGAAGUACAGGAGUAUAUGGAAUUGAUGGGAGGGAAAGAAAUGAUAAAUGAGCAGGGAAGCAUAUUUGGGUUAGAAGAGGCUAAGAAGGCAAAUGGCAACAAGGUACAAGAGUGUAAAAACGUAAACCAUGAAAAGAAAACGAGCUGGAAAAGAAUAAAACCAAUGGCCACGGUGAUACAAACAAAGGCUGAGAAUAGUAUGGGAAAGAAGAAGUCCUCAGAAUGAGAUCUUGCAAGGAGUGACAAGGGAGAUGUUGAGGUGGACGGAACUAAAAGAUUAAAAAAAUGAUGUUGAAAGAUGUGAUAGAGCCUCCUCAGAAGUGAUGUUAGACUGUUCUGAGCAAUUUGAAAUACAAAAUUUAUUGAGAUCGGCGGCUACCAAGAGGUAAGCUGACCAGAUGCAAUGAAAAUCAUUAGUUGGAAUGUUCGUGGAUUGGGAAGUCCAUGGACAGUAAGGAGGCUGUGUUUUUUCGUAAAACAGCACAAUCCCCAGAUGGUCUUCUUAAUGGAGACAAAGUUACAUAAGCAACGCAUGGAAAAAGUCAGAAGGAGAUGUAGUUUUAUUAAUGGAAUUGAUAUUGAAACAGAGGGUUCGCGAGGAGGACUAUGUUUAGCAUGGAAAGGAGAUACUGAAAUAAGUAGGAAUCAUAUUGAAGUUAUGGUUAAAGAAGACAAUGAUGAAGCAGAAUGGAGGUUCACGGGGUUCUAUGGUUCGCCCUAUGUUAAUAAUAGCAGUGCUACGUGGAAUCUGCUAAAGAAAUUGGGGCAAGAUAGAAGUCAUCCAUGGUUGGUAAGUGGUGAUUUUAAUGAGAUCAUGUAUUCUUAUGAAAAAUGUGGGGGUGAACCUAGGGAAGAGAGUAGAAUGGAGGCCUUUCGAGAGGCUUUAGAAUAAUGCCUACUAGAAGACUUGGGAUAUUUGGGGGUUUGGUUUACUUGGGAAAGAGGAAAUUUACCAGAGACAAACACUAAAGAAAGACUUGACAGGGGAGUGGCAAAUGACAAAUGGAGGCAGUUAUUUUCAACAGGUAACAUCAGACACCUAACACACUCAAUGUCUGACUAUUGCCCACUUCUUAUAAACACAAAAUGUGGAAAUUCUUAUAAGGGCAAUUCAAAAUUUAAAUUCGAGGCGUGGUGGCUCAUGGAGGAAACUAUUAAGGAAGUAGUUAAAGAAUCUUGGGAGUCAAGAAUAGGUACAGUUGCUGAAAAACUCGAAAGACUACAAGCAGACUUAAAAAUAUGGGCAAAAUCAAUAAAAGAACGGCGAGAGGGAUUGAAGAAAAAGCUUACAAAGCAACUUGAUACGUUAAUGGUGUAAGAAAGGACUGACGACACAAUGGCAAAAGUCAUCGAUACCAAAAUCCACCUGAAUAUGGAAAUAUAUAAAGAUGAAAUUUACUGAGAACAAAGGGCAAUGGCAAAUUCGCUUAAAGCAGGAGAUAGGAAUUCAACUUUCUUUCAUAGGUUUGCAACAUAUCGAAGAAACAUUAAUACCAUAUCAAAGUUAGAACUUGAUGGAGGAGGAGAGGUUAUCGAAGUUACUGAGAUUAAUGAAGCUACUACUAUGUACUUUCAGAAGUUAUUCACGUCAAAUGGAGUAGGAGACCCUUUUUAUCUUCUAACGGGCAUUAAAAGUAAUAUUCUGGUAGAAAUCAACAGAGUUCUGAUGUCAAAAUAUACAACAGAAGAAGUCUAUGAGGCUCUGAAAGGAAUGGGACCCAUUAAAGCAUUAGGACGUGAUGGUUUUCUAGUAAUUUUCUUUCAGAAGUAUUGGCACAUUGUAGGUAAGGAAAUUUCUAACUUUUGUUUGGGAAUUCUAAAUAAUGGGGAAAAUUUUGGACCUUUUAAUCAAACAGAGAUCGUGUUGAUUCCAAAAAUUCCUAAUCCCACUAGCCUAGCUAAUUUCAGACCCAUUAGUUUGUGCUCAGUUUUUUAUAAAAUGGUGGCGAAAACAAUUGCAAAUCGACUACAAGUAGGUAUUGGAAGAUGUAUUGAUGUGGCUCAAAGUGCGUUCGUCCUAGGAAAGCUAAUUACAGAUAAUGUGCUUCUUGCGUAUGAGAUUUUGCAUACAUUUCGACAAAAGUGCAGGGGAAAAAAUGGAUACAUGGCAGUAAAGCUUGAUAUGAGUAAAGCUUAUGAUAGGGUAGAAUGGGGCUAUAUAAAAGAAGUCAUGUUAAGAAUGGGUUUUGCGAAGGAAUGGGUGGAGCUGGUUAUGAAAUGUAUAUCUACAACGUCCUAUGUAGUCAAUACAAAUGGAGGAAGUGGACGAAGCUUUAAGUCGACAAGAGGAUUACGAUAGGGAGAUCCUCUAAACCCUUUUCUAUUUUUAAUGUGCAGCGAGGGAUUAUCAUCGUUGAUGAGAUUGGUAAUGAAGGAAGGAUCGUUAAGAGGUGCAAAAGCAAGUAGAAGAGGCCUAGAAAUUUCACACUUACUUUUUGCAGAUGAUUGUAUUCUGUUUGGGGAAGCAUUAGUCAGAGGGCAAAUGUGCUAAAAGAAAUAUUGAAGAUGUCUGGAAAGUGUUCUGGCCAAUGUGUAAAUUUCAAUAAAUCUACAGAAGAAAAAAAGAAAGAAGUCUCGGUAAUUCUGGGGAUAAGGACCUCAACAAAUAUGGAAAGAUAUUUAGGUUUCCCGAAUGUGGUUGGCAGACGGAAAAAAAUCUUUUCAGCAUCUCAAAGAGAAAAUACAUACCAGAAUUGAAGGAUGGAGUACCAGAAUGUUAUCGCAAGGAGGCAAGAAAGUAUUUCUAAAGUCGAUACUACAGGCUAUUCCAACCUAUGCUAUGUCUUGUUUCUUGUUACCAAAGUCAUUAUGCAGAGAUAUAGAAAGCAUUUUUGCUAAAUUCUGGUGGCAAAAAUCCCACGGAAGAAGAGGAAUUCAUUGGUGUCAAUGGAAAUAUUUGUGCCGGUCAAAAGAAGAAGGUGGUUUGGGCUUUAGAGAUAUGGCUAAAUUUAAUGUCUCACUAUUAGCCAAACAGGGAUGGAGAAUCUUGAACAAUCCAGAUUUCUUAUUAGCUCAAGUUUUAAAAGCAAAAUAUUUCUCGAAUGUUAAUUUCUUAGACUCACGAUUGGGGAACAAUGCUUCGUAUACAUUGAAAAGUAUUUGGGCUACAAAGGGCACUCUAGAGGAAGGUCUGUGUUGGAAGGUGGGAAGGGGAACGCAUAUUUCAGUUAGCAAUGACUUUUGGAUCCCAGAUGUGCAAAAAGAGCAGGUUAUCAGCUUUAAAUACAAAUUUGAAUGAUUUUAAAGUUACCGAUUUAAUUAAUCAAAGUAACAAAACAUGGAAGAAAGAGUUGAUAAUUUCUACCUUUCCGGAGGAUGUAGCUGAGAAGAUUAUUGGCAUCCCAUUGGCAGAAGAACCUUAUGAUGAUUUUCGGGUCUGGAGUGCAGAGGCAUCGGGCGAAUUCACAGUGCGAAGUGCCUAUAAACUAUUACAAAGUAUUGAAGAUGAUCCUAGAGCUUACGCUUUACAAGAUGGCUAUAAGGAAUUUUACAAAAAAUUAUGGCUCUUGAACCUUCCUUCAAAAAUCAAAAUUACAAUUUGGAAGAUAUCAUGGAAUUUCCUAGCUAUACGAGUUAAUAUGCUUCAAAAAAAGCUAACAAACAUAAUAGUAUGUCCACGCUGUGGAGUUGGAUCAGAGAAUAUGGACCAUAUUUUCCGUGAAUGCCCUGUUUCAAUUUCAGUAUGGAGGGAAUUACCAUGCAAAGUUUUUUUGCAAGAAAGUCAGUUGGAGUUUGUACAGUGGCUAACCUGGGUAUUUGCGAAGAACUCAGCAUCACAAUGUAGGAUAUUCUGCUGUGCAUUAUGGGUAAUUUGGGGAGAUAGAAAUGACAGAGUGCACAAAAAAAGUGAGUAAAU
Molecule: long non-coding RNA, 4182 nt
Filed under: Gossypium raimondii (Peruvian cotton)
Lineage: Eukaryota; Viridiplantae; Streptophyta; Magnoliopsida; Malvales; Malvaceae
Description: long non-coding RNA (GRAI_LNC006371)
Source: RNAcentral